This 391-nucleotide unclassified non-coding RNA is filed under the name soil metagenome. Its description in RNAcentral is "partial contains 5.8S ribosomal RNA, internal transcribed spacer 2, and large subunit ribosomal RNA". The stretch from base 1 to 122 matches the Rfam family "5.8S ribosomal RNA", at positions 35 to 154 of the family's 154-position model. The record is from RNAcentral.
GAUGAAGAACGUAGCGAAAUGCGAUACUUGGUGUGAAUUGCAGAAUCCCGUGAACCAUCGAGUCUUUGAACGCAAGUUGCGCCCGAAGCCAUUAGGCCGAGGGCACGCCUGCCUGGGCGUCACACGUCGUUGCCCCCCCAUCUACUCCUUCGGGAUUGCGGGGGGCGGAUGAUGGCCUCUCGUGCGCCUCGUCGCGCGGUUGGCCUAAACGCCAAGUCCUCGGCGACGCACGCCACGACAAUCGGUGGUUGCGAAACCUCGGUUGCCUGUCGUGUGCGGUCGUCGCGCAUCGAGGGCUCGAAAAAAUUGCCGGGCUUCGGCUCGACUUUCAACGCGACCCCAGGUCAGGCGGGGUUACCCGCUGAAUUUAAGCAUAUCAAUAAGCGGAGGA